This 73-nucleotide transfer RNA is filed under the name Cronobacter phage vB_CsaP_GAP52. It matches the Rfam family "tRNA". Rfam says of the family: Transfer RNA (tRNA) molecules are approximately 80 nucleotides in length. Their secondary structure includes four short double-helical elements and three loops (D, anti-codon, and T loops). Lineage: Duplodnaviria; Heunggongvirae; Uroviricota; Caudoviricetes; Grimontviridae. The record is from Rfam by way of RNAcentral.
GGACGAUAAGCACAUAUGGAUGUGCGGUGAGCUGUUAACUCAAUGGUAGUUGGUUCGAAUCCAACAUCGUCCG